UACGUAGGGGGCAAGCGUUGUCCGGAAUCAUUGGGCGUAAAGCGCGUGUAGGCGGCUCGGUAAGUCCGCUCUGAAAGUCCGGGGCUCAACCCCGGGAGGCGGGUGGAUACUGUCGAGCUCGAGUCCGGAAGAGGCGAGUGGAAUUCCUGGUGUAGCGGUGAAAUGCGCAGAUAUCAGGAGGAACACCGAUGGCGAAGGCAGCUCGCUGGGACGGUACUGACGCUGAGACGCGAAAGCGUGGGGAGCAAACAGG
This 253-nucleotide ribosomal RNA is filed under the name uncultured bacterium. RNAcentral describes it as "partial 16S ribosomal RNA". It matches the Rfam family "Bacterial small subunit ribosomal RNA", at positions 524 to 776 of the family's 1533-position model. The record is from RNAcentral.